AAGCAGAGGAAAAGUAACUAACAAGGAUUGACUUAGUAAGGGCGACUGAAGUGUCAAAAGGCUCACCAUGUGAAUCUGCAUAACUGAAUGCUGAAUUGUGGUCUGAAGAGUCUUGCAAUCUAAGGCUGAGCCAAGUCAUUUGGAAUGGGGCAGUUCAAAGGGUGAAACUCCUGAAUGCCUGGCCUUUGAAGCAAGUUUCACAGAGUCGAGUUGUUUGGGAUUGCAGCUCUAAGAGGGUGGUAAAUUCCACCAAAAGCAAAAUACUGGUGAAAGUCCAAUAGUGAACAAGUACCGUGAGGGAAAGAUGCAAAGAACUUUGAAAAGAGAGUUAAAGAGUACCUGAAAUUGCUGAAAAGGAAGCAGAGGGAAUCAGUGCUGGUUCUGUCAUACUAUCCCAAUUGCUUGUGAUUGGGGCGCUGUGGCAAACUUAGUCUCCAUUGAUUGACUCAGAUGAAGGCACAAUAAAGGUUGAAUGCCUUUCUUGCUUGUAUCUUAUUUGAUUGAUGAUGACAAAAUGAUUUUCUUUUUCCCGUCUAGAAACACGGACCAAGGAGUCUAACACAUGUGCAAGUACUGGAGUAUGCAACUCCUGUGCACAAUGAAAGUGACAGUGGCUGAAAUGUUUGCACAGUCAGCCGGCCUCAAUCCUUUGGGAGAAUGGUCUGAGUGUGAGCACACAUGUUGGGACCCGAAAGAUGGUGAACUAUGCUUGAGUAGGGUGAAGCCAGGGGAAACUCUGGUGGAGGCUUGUAACGAUUCUGACGUGCAAAUCGAUCGUCAAACUUUAGUAUAGGGGCGAAAGACUAAUCGAACCAUCUAGUAGCUGGUUUCCUCCGAAAUUUCCCUUAGGAUAGCUGCAAUCAAUCACCAAUUUUGUC
This 878-nucleotide ribosomal RNA is filed under the name Pinnularia neomajor. RNAcentral's name for it is "eukaryotic LSU rRNA". It matches the Rfam family "Eukaryotic large subunit ribosomal RNA", at positions 48 to 1005 of the family's 3401-position model. The record is from RNAcentral. Lineage: Eukaryota; Bacillariophyta; Bacillariophyceae; Sellaphorales; Pinnulariaceae.